Molecule: ribosomal RNA, 48 nt
Filed under: Traversia baccharoides
Lineage: Eukaryota; Viridiplantae; Streptophyta; Magnoliopsida; Asterales; Asteraceae
Description: partial 26S ribosomal RNA
Source: RNAcentral
UGCUUCGACCGCGACCCCAGGUCAGGCGGGACUACCCGCUGAGUUUAA